RNAcentral lists this ribosomal RNA (254 nucleotides) under uncultured bacterium. Its description in RNAcentral is "partial 16S ribosomal RNA". It matches the Rfam family "Bacterial small subunit ribosomal RNA", at positions 524 to 776 of the family's 1533-position model. The record is from RNAcentral.
UACGUAGGGUGCAAGCGUUGUCCGGAAUUAUUGGGCGUAAAGAGCUUGUAGGCGGUUUGUCGCGUCUGCUGUGAAAUUUCGGGGCUCAACCCCGAACUUGCAGUGGGUACGGGCAGACUAGAGUGUGGUAGGGGAGACUGGAAUUCCUGGUGUAGCGGUGAAAUGCGCAGAUAUCAGGAGGAACACCGAUGGCGAAAGCGGCAUCCUGGACCGAUAUUGACGCUGAGUGAGCGAAAGCCAGGGGAGCAAACGGG